This 550-nucleotide ribosomal RNA is filed under the name Bacillus altitudinis. RNAcentral's name for it is "bacterial SSU rRNA". It matches the Rfam family "Bacterial small subunit ribosomal RNA", at positions 224 to 766 of the family's 1533-position model. The record is from RNAcentral. Lineage: Bacteria; Bacillati; Bacillota; Bacilli; Caryophanales; Bacillaceae.
GAUGGACCCGCGGCGCAUUAGCUAGUUGGUGAGGUAACGGCUCACCAAGGCGACGAUGCGUAGCCGACCUGAGAGGGUGAUCGGCCACACUGGGACUGAGACACGGCCCAGACUCCUACGGGAGGCAGCAGUAGGGAAUCUUCCGCAAUGGACGAAAGUCUGACGGAGCAACGCCGCGUGAGUGAUGAAGGUUUUCGGAUCGUAAAGCUCUGUUGUUAGGGAAGAACAAGUGCAAGAGUAACUGCUUGCACCUUGACGGUACCUAACCAGAAAGCCACGGCUAACUACGUGCCAGCAGCCGCGGUAAUACGUAGGUGGCAAGCGUUGUCCGGAAUUAUUGGGCGUAAAGGGCUCGCAGGCGGUUUCUUAAGUCUGAUGUGAAAGCCCCCGGCUCAACCGGGGAGGGUCAUUGGAAACUGGGAAACUUGAGUGCAGAAGAGGAGAGUGGAAUUCCACGUGUAGCGGUGAAAUGCGUAGAGAUGUGGAGGAACACCAGUGGCGAAGGCGACUCUCUGGUCUGUAACUGACGCUGAGGAGCGAAAGCGUGGGG